Molecule: ribosomal RNA, 1204 nt
Filed under: Prosthiochaeta bifasciata
Lineage: Eukaryota; Metazoa; Arthropoda; Insecta; Diptera; Platystomatidae
Description: partial 16S ribosomal RNA
Source: RNAcentral
UCAAUAUAAGUUGAUUAAUAUUUAUUUAUUGAUUUUUAAUUUUUGUUUAUUUAUUUAUUAAAAAUAAUUAUAUAAAGGGUUGUUUUAGUAAUUUUUAAUGAAAUAAUAAAUUUAAUUAUAGUGUAUUAAUGUAUCGUGAGAGAGUAUUGAAAUAUAUUGAAAAAUUUUUAUUUUGUAAGAAAAUUUAGGUUGUUGUACCUUGUGUAUCAGGGUCUACUAAUAAGUUAGUAUUUAUUUACUAUUCUCGAUUUUAUAAGAGUUAAUUACCUAUGAAAUUUAAUGUGUCAAAAUUAUUUUUAAUAGGUAGUUAGAAAUGAAAUGUUUUUCGUUUAUAGAGGUAUCUAGUUAUUCCAGAAAUAAAUUUAAUUUAUUAGUUUUUAAUUUUUGUUCUAAUUGAAUUAGGCCAAAAAUUUAAUAGUUAUAAUACCUUAUGGGAUAAGCUUUAAGGUGUAUUUUUAAAAGUUAAUUUAUAUAUUAAUAUAUGUAAGCUUAGAAUUAGCAAUCAUUAAUGAAUUUGUUUUAAACCAUUUUAUUAGAUAAAUUAUUUAUUUACUUUAAUUAUUUAUGGAAUUUUCUAUUUUAAUUUUUAAAAUAGAAUAAUAAUGGUGGAAUUAGUAUAAUUUCUUGUGGGUGUAGUUUUAUGUGAUAAGUUUAUGUAAAGAAUUCGGCAAAUUUUUUAUGCCCGCCUGUUUAACAAAAACAUGUCUUUUUGAGUUAAUUUUAAAGUCUAACCUGCCCAAUGAAAAUUUUAAUGGCCGCAGUAUUUUAACUGUGCAAAGGUAGCAUAAUCAUUAGUCUUUUAAUUGAAGGCUGGUAUGAAUGGUUGGACGAGGUAUAAGCUGUUUCAUGUAAAUUUAUAAUAGAAUUUUAUUUUUCAGUCAAAAAGCUGAAAUUUAGUUAAAAGACGAGAAGACCCUAUAAAUCUUUAUAUUUUUUACUAGUUAAAUUUUUUGGAGUUAUUUUAUUUUAUUAGUAUAAAUUAUUUUAUUGGGGUGAUAUUAAAAUUUAAUUAACUUUUAAUUUUUAAUUACAUUAAUUUAUGAUUAGCUGAUCCGUUACUAGUGAUUAUAAGACUAAGUUACUUUAGGGAUAACAGCGUAAUUUUUUUUGAGAGUUCUUAUCGAUAAAAAAGAUUGCGACCUCGAUGUUGGAUUAAGAUAUAAUUUUGGGUGUAGCCGCUUAAAUUUUAAGUCUGUUCGACUUU